RNAcentral lists this ribosomal RNA (477 nucleotides) under uncultured bacterium. RNAcentral's name for it is "partial 16S ribosomal RNA". It matches the Rfam family "Bacterial small subunit ribosomal RNA", at positions 28 to 507 of the family's 1533-position model. The record is from RNAcentral.
GAUGAACGCUGGCGGCGUGCUUAACACAUGCAAGUCGAACGAGAAGUGGAGACGGAAACCUUCUGGCGGAAGACUUUACUUCGAGUGGCGGCCGGGUGAGUAACGCGUGGGUAACCUGCCUCAUACAGGGGGAUAACAGUUGGAAACGACUGUUAAUACCGCAUCAGACCACAGCACCGCAUGGUGCGGGGGUAAAAACUCCGGUGGUAUGAGAUGGACCCGCGUUCGAUUAGCCGGUUGGCGGGGUAACGGCCCACCAAAGCGACGAUCGAUAGCCGAGCUGAGAGGAUGACCGGCCGCAUUGAGACUGGGACCCGGCCCAAACUCCUGCGGGAGGCAGCAGUGGGGAAUAUUGCACAAUGGGGAAACCCUGAUGCAGCGACGCCGCGUAAGUGAAGAAGUAUUUCGGUAUGUAAAGCUCUAUCAGCAGGGAAGAAAAUGACAGUACCUGAGGAAGAAGCCCCGGCUAACUACGUG